UUCCGGUUGAUCCUGCCGGACCUGACUGCUAUCGGAUUGAUACUAAGCCAUGUGAGUCAUUGUAGUAAUACAAGGCAGACGGCUCAGUAACACGUAGCCAAUCUAACCUAUGGACGGGGAUAACCUCGGGAAACUGAGGAUAAACCCCGAUAGAUCAUUAUGCCUGGAAAGGUUUAUGGUCCAAAUGAUUCGUCGCCGUAGGAUGAGACUGCGGCCUAUCAGCUUGUUGGUGAGGUAAUGGCCCACCAAGGCUAUUACAGGUACGGGCUCUGAGAGGAGAAGCCCGGAGAUGGGUACUGAGACACGGACCCAGGCCCUAUGGGGCGCAGCAGGCGAGAAACCUUUGCAAUGUGCGCAAGCACGACAAGGUUAAUCCGAGUGUUUCCUGCUUAAGGAAUCUUUUGUUAGUCCUAAAAACACUAGUGAAUAAGGGGUGGGCAAGUUCUGGUGUCAGCCGCCGCGGUAAAACCAGCACCUCAAGUGGUCAGGAGGAUUAUUGGGCCUAAAGCAUCCGUAGCUUGCUCUGUAAGUUUCCGGUUAAAUCCAUUAGCUCAACUAAUGGGCUGCCGGAAAAACUGCAGAGCUAGGAAGUGGGAGAGGUAGACGGUACUCGGUAGGAAGGGGUAAAAUCCUUUGAUCUAUUGAUGACCACCUGUGGCGAAGGCGGUCUACCAGAACACGUUCGACAGUGAGGGAUGAAAGCUGGGGGAGCAAACCGGAUUAGAUACCCGGGUAGUCCCAGCUGUAAACGAUGCAGACUCGGUGAUGCGCUGGCUUGUGGCCAGUGCAGUGCCGCAGGGAAGCCGUUAAGUUUGCCGCCUGGGAAGU
Molecule: ribosomal RNA, 828 nt
Filed under: uncultured archaeon
Lineage: Archaea
Description: bacterial SSU rRNA
Rfam family: Archaeal small subunit ribosomal RNA
Source: RNAcentral